Molecule: ribosomal RNA, 547 nt
Filed under: Lucanus swinhoei
Lineage: Eukaryota; Metazoa; Arthropoda; Insecta; Coleoptera; Lucanidae
Description: partial 16S ribosomal RNA
Rfam family: Bacterial large subunit ribosomal RNA
Source: RNAcentral
GCCUGUUUAUCAAAAACAUGGCUUCUUGAUAUAAAUAUGAGGUCAGGCCUGCCCGAUGAUAAUUUGAAUGGCUGCGGUAUACUGACCGUGCAAAGGUAGCAUAAUCAUUAGUUUUUUUAUUGAAAGCUGGAAUGAAGGGUUUAACGAGAAAGAUGCUGUCUUGAUUUGAUUGUUUGAAUUUUAUGUUUGAGUGAGAAAGCUUAAAUGGGUUUGAGGGACGAGAAGACCCUAUAGAAUUUAAUAGUUUAGGUGUUCUGGGUUUUUGGUUUAUGAUGGCUAGGAUGUGCGAAGAUUAUUUUGUUGGGGUGAUAGGAAAAUUUAAUUAACUUUUUUUGUUUUUUAUCAUUAAUAAAUGAAUUUUUGAUCCAUUAGAAAUGAUUAUAAGAAUAAAUUACCUUAGGGAUAACAGCGUAAUUAAUCUGGAGAGUUCUAAUCGAUAGUUUAGUUUGCGACCUCGAUGUUGGAUUAAAAUUGGCUUUUGGUGAAGGGACUGAAGAGCUAAGUCUGUUCGACUUUUAAAAUUUUACAUGAUCUGAGUUCAGACCGG